CCUACGGGAGGCUGCAGUGGGGAAUAUUGGGCAAUGGGCGCAAGCCUGACCCAGCAACGCCGCGUGAAGGAAGAAGGCUUUCGGGUUGUAAACUUCUUUUAAGAGGGAAGAGAAGAAGACGGUACCUCUUGAAUAAGCCACGGCUAAAUACGUGCCAGCAGCGGAGGCAAUACGUAGGUGGCAAGCGUUGUCCGGAUUUACUGGGUGUAAAGGACGUGCAGCCGGGAAGACAAGUCAGAUGUUAAAUCCCGCGGCUCAACCGCGGAAAUGCAUUUGAAACUGUUUUUCUUGAGUACCGGAGAGGUCAUCGGAAUUCCGCGUGUAGCGGUGAAAUGCGUAGAUAUAAGGAAGAACACCGGUGGCGAAGGCGGAUGACUGGACGGCAACUGACGGUGAGGCGCGAAAGCGUGGGGAGCAAACAGGAUUAGAUACCCGUGUAGUC
Molecule: ribosomal RNA, 442 nt
Filed under: uncultured bacterium
Lineage: Bacteria
Description: partial 16S ribosomal RNA
Rfam family: Bacterial small subunit ribosomal RNA
Source: RNAcentral